Long non-coding RNA from Cebus imitator (Panamanian white-faced capuchin), 453 nucleotides. RefSeq lists it as uncharacterized. The record is from RefSeq and is a predicted model, not a curated record. Lineage: Eukaryota; Metazoa; Chordata; Mammalia; Primates; Cebidae. The transcript has 3 exons.
CAGCUUGUGCUGUAUUGAGGAUUCCUCCAUGAUCACGCACCCCGUUUAUACAUCAUGCUUGGAAAGGAGUGUGCAGACCAAUAAUGGACGUACUUGUGAUGAUUUGAAGAUGCCUCUGAGGUCACAUGCUCUGUUUGCACCAUGCUUAGGAAGGAGCAUACAGAUCAAUAAUGGACAGACUUGCUCUGAUUUGAGGACUUCUUCAUGAUCACGUGUUCUGUUUGCACCAUGCUUAGGAAGGAGCAUGGGUACCAAUGUGAGUAACGGUCAGAUUUCUUGUAUUUCUUUGGGUGGUUUAUGUAAGAGUACUAUAAAUACAUAUGUGAUGUACUAUAUAUACAUAUGUAAUAUAAUCAAAGAUGGUGAAUUGUAUCUAGUGAGAGAUAUGGGAGUCAGAAGUAUUACAUUGACAAUUCACAUAUGAAAAACGGGACAAUAAUGAAACAUAUAUUA